UUAAAAAAUUUUCAGAUGUUC
RNAcentral lists this non-coding RNA (21 nucleotides) under Caenorhabditis elegans. The record is from RNAcentral. Lineage: Eukaryota; Metazoa; Nematoda; Chromadorea; Rhabditida; Rhabditidae.